CCCUUAGAUGUUCUGGGCCGCACGCGCGCUACACUGAUGCAUUCAACGAGUCUAAAACCUGCUCUGAUAGGGGUGGGUAAUCUUUUGAAUGUGCAUCGUGAUUGGGAUAGAUGAUUGCAAUUUUUCAUCUUCAACGAGGAAUGCCUAGUAAACGCAAGUCAUCAGCUUGCAUUGAUUACGUCCCUGCCCUUUGUACACACCGCCCGUCGCUCCUACCGAUUGAAUGAUCCGAUGAAUAUCAUAGACUGAGAGUAUAAGCAGGUUCGCCUGUCUUUGCUUCUCGGGAAGUGAAGUAAAUCUCAUCAUUUAGAGGAAGGAGAAGUCGUAACA
RNAcentral lists this ribosomal RNA (330 nucleotides) under uncultured eukaryote. RNAcentral describes it as "partial 18S ribosomal RNA". It matches the Rfam family "Eukaryotic small subunit ribosomal RNA", at positions 1470 to 1796 of the family's 1831-position model. The record is from RNAcentral.